GCCGGGUGUGGUGGCGGGCACCUGUAAUCCCAGCUACAUUGGGGGCUGAGACUGGAGGAUGACUUGAGCCUGGGAGGUUGAGGCUGCAGUGAGCCAAGACUGUGCCACUGCACUUCAGCCUGGGCAAUAGAGUGAGACCCUGUCUCAA
Molecule: unclassified non-coding RNA, 148 nt
Organism: Macaca fascicularis (crab-eating macaque)
Lineage: Eukaryota; Metazoa; Chordata; Mammalia; Primates; Cercopithecidae
Rfam family: Metazoan signal recognition particle RNA
About the family: The signal recognition particle (SRP) is a universally conserved ribonucleoprotein. It is involved in the co-translational targeting of proteins to membranes. The eukaryotic SRP consists of a 300-nucleotide 7S RNA and six proteins: SRPs 72, 68, 54, 19, 14, and 9.
Source: Ensembl